AUUUGUAAGAUACAAUUUUAUAUUUUCCUGGGCAAAAUAUAAAAUUAACCUUUUGGAAACCGCCCCCCCCCCCAAAAAAAAAAGGAAUAUAAUUUUUGACAUUAAGAAACAUGCAGACCUUUACCUAUUACAAGGCCCCCGUUACCACUGCAGAAGCGGGGCAUAUUCCUCUAGAGCAUGGAAUUGCCAUGAGUAAGAUUAUCAUCCAUUGGCCUUCCACAACUUGGUGGCUGGUUAAGGGAGUGCCUUCAGGGUACAUAGUAAAAUGUGUUGAAUGUUCACAUAUUGGAUCGGUAAACCUGUAUAGUGGUUGCCAUCCAUCUCUUUUGCUGUACAGCCUAGAAUCUGAGGUCUUUGAAUUGGGACUUUUGAUAAAUCCCGAAGAUUCAUGCCACUGUCCCAGCAUUUCUAGACUUUGGGGACAGAGGGGGUAAACAGGAUGGCAGUGGAGGUUCCAGCUGCUACCUGAACUUGUGCUGCCGUCACCCUCAUGAGCUCUAAGAGCUGGUUCUGACUUGAUUCCUCAGAAUGUUUUAGCUGAAAGUUUGGCUUCUAUUUCCCCCAUCCUGGUGUUAGGUUCGUCUACUCUGAGAUGUAGGUGCCACUUCUCAUGCUCUUGGUCUUUCAGAGCCAAGCCCUGGUCUGUCGCAUUUUAAUUGCUCAUAUUUCCCUUGUGUCUAAAGUGGGUUUUGACUCUUAUCUAAGCCCUGAGAGCUCAGUGGAGGAGUUGUGGUGCUUCAUGCUAGAUCUGAAAGCUUGCAGAGAAGAUCCUUAAAAGUUAUGGGGAAGACAAGACACGUAAAAGAGAUACAUACGUGUUCAUUCACCAGUUGGCUCAUGAGAGUCAAACAUCAGAGACAAACACUAAAAGAAUUCAGAGAAGAAACAUCAUUAGAAAUUGAAGAGAUGAAAAGAGAUGUGGAAGGGGUGAGCCAGCCUGGACCCUGUGGAGGCAUAUAACCCUCUAGCUGAUGGUGGGACAACUAGAUAGAAGUGACCUGCAUCCCUGGAUGGCAUUAGUGUCCUCUUACCCUCAACUGCCCACCUACCAGAAAAACAAACAUCUCUCUUGAGUCCCACGUGCUUCUAGGUCUCUUUGUUACAGCAGCUUAGCUUGUGCCUUAUCUUGUCCGGUGGAAGAGCAGCCCAACCAGAAGUCUCUGAAUGGAAGGAUUAAAGCAGAAGAGCAGGAAAAGAAAAAAAAGGAGAAAAGCCAGAGGCAUUAUGAGACCGAUGCUAUUGGAGGCUCACAGAAAGCAGUACUACAAAAGCCCAAAGCAUGGUUGCUGAUGGUUGAAACUUGAAGUUGAAAAACAACCAAUUCGUGGAUGGAAUAUGUUUUAUAGAGCAUAAAUAACAGUUUGCCUUGUGCUGUCUCCACCUGCCAUGCCGAUGUUCUAUUCCUGGUUAAAAGUCUGACCUUGGCUUCACCAUUUUCAUAAAUAAAACCUGUCUUGAUUACUAGAUGGAAA
Long non-coding RNA from Aethalodelphis obliquidens (Pacific white-sided dolphin), 1472 nucleotides. RefSeq lists it as uncharacterized. The record is from RefSeq and is a predicted model, not a curated record. The transcript is spliced from 2 exons. NCBI's taxonomy places the organism in Eukaryota, Metazoa, Chordata, Mammalia, Artiodactyla, Delphinidae.